RNA transcript from Brachypodium distachyon (stiff brome), 3412 nucleotides. It is a transcript of the gene named probable pectin methyltransferase QUA2, with no coding region annotated. The record is from RefSeq and is a predicted model, not a curated record. The transcript is spliced from 9 exons. Lineage: Eukaryota; Viridiplantae; Streptophyta; Magnoliopsida; Poales; Poaceae.
GGCUGUUAGCACACACGUACAGAAAACAGAUAGACAGAGGAGAGUGUGUUUGCUCGCUGCGUCCCCGGCCGAGGCCUCGUCUCGUUCCGUGCAGAAAGGGAAGAGGAGGAGCCGAGGUGGAGGAGAGAUCCGGAGCGGAAACGGCCAAGGAAGGACGCGCUCGGGUUAAUUGCUGGUGGUACCAUUGUGCUAUCUCUCCUCCCGCUCCAUUACUCGCCGUGCGGCCACGGUGAAUUGGGGAGGCGGUAGCAGUGGUGGAAGAGUGCUGGAGUUGGACUGGCGGAGCAGCGGCUGCCAGCGCCAUUGCGGGAUUGCGAUUGCUCGUUCGCUGGAGUUAGUGGUGGUGGUUCGAGUCUCGCUCUCCAUGCGGCUCUGGACGGGCCUGUGAGAUCCGCAGCGCAGCAGCCAUGUCGCGGCCGCUGUACCGCGGGUUUUCGGGGAUCGGCGGCAAGGCGGCGGCGGCGGGCGACGAGGACCGCUACGACCCCAAGGAGCAGCCCGGCGAGAACGGCAUUGGCGCGUGCGCCGCGGCGUCGCGGGGGCGGAAGCGGCACCUCGCCGUGGCGGCGGUCAGGAUCGGGGUCCUGGUGCUCGCCGCGGCCGCGCUCGCUGGGUCGGUGGCGUGGGCCGGGUCGCUCUACGCGGGGCGAGGCGCCGCCGCGGCCGUGGCCGCCGCCUCGGCGCACCGCGGGUACCGACGGCUGCAGGAGCAGCUCGUCACGGACCUGCUCGACAUAGGCGAGCUCGCCGGCGGCGGGGUCCGCUCGCGGGAGGCGGACGUGUGCGCGCCCGAGUACGAGAACUACGUGCCCUGCUACUACAACGUGUCGGACGCCGUCGAUGUGACGGAUCUGGGCGGCGGCGUCGUCAUAAGCUACGAGCGGCAGUGCGCGCGCGAGGGCAGGGUUCCGUGCCUCGUCGCGCCGCCGCGGACAUACCGGACUCCCGUGCGGUGGCCGAGCUGCAAGGGCUUCAUCUGGAAGGACAACGUGCGGAUUAGCGGGCAGGAAUUUUCGUCCGGGAGCCUGUUCAAGAGGAUGAUGGUGGAGGAGGACCAAAUCUCAUUCCCGUCAGACGCACAUAUGUCUGACGGCGUGGAGGAUUAUGCGCAUCAGAUUGCUGAGAUGAUUGGCCUGCGGAAUGAGUUCAAUUUUAAUGAGGCUGGGGUUCGGACUGUCCUUGAUAUAGAAUGUGGAUUCGGUACCUUGGGGUCACAUCUUUUUGAAAGAGAUCUCCUGACUAUGUGCAUUGCUAACUACGAGCCAUCAGGCAGUCAAGUGCAAAUCACCCUUGAAAGAGGAAUUCCUGCAUUGAUUGGUUCAUUUGCAUCAAAGCAGCUCCCAUAUCCAUAUCUUUCAUUCGAUAUGGUGCACUGUGCAAAAUGCAAUGUUGAAUGGGACAAGCACGAUGGUAUCUUCUUGGUUGAAGUGGACAGGCUUUUGAGGCCUAGUGGAUACUUUGUUUGGACAUCAAAUCUGAAUACGCACAGGGCCUUACGUGACAAAGAAAAUCAAAAGAAAUGGACAACCAUUCGUGACUUAGCUAAUAACCUCUGUUGGGAGAUGCUGUCACAACAAGAUGAGACAAUUGUGUGGAAGAAGACAAACAAAAAAGAUUGUUACAGUUCUAGGAAAUCCGAGCCUGUGCUUUGUGGUAAAAGUCAUGAUCCAGAAUCACCAUACUACCAAUCACUAAAUCCCUGCAUAGCAGGAACAAGAAGCCAGCGUUGGAUCCCCAUUGAACAUCGCACAACAUGGCCUUCUCAGGCUAGAUUGAACUCAACAGAACUUUAUAUACAUGGUGUGCAUUCGGAUGUCUUUGCUGAGGAUACUUCAAACUGGGACUCCAUGGUGCGAAACUACUGGUCUUUGCUAUCGCCACUUAUAUUUUCUGAUCAUCCUAAGAGACCCGGUGACGAGGACCCACAGCCACCAUUCAACAUGCUACGGAAUGUUCUAGAUAUGAAUGCUCACUUUGGUGGAUUUAAUGCUGCUUUGCUCAAAUCUGGAAAAUCUGUAUGGGUGAUGAAUGUUGUUCCUACAAAUGCGCCGAACUAUCUGCCCCUAAUCUUUGACCGUGGGUUUAUUGGGGUUCAACACGACUGGUGUGAAGCGUUUCCAACUUAUCCAAGAACGUAUGAUAUGGUACAUGCUGAUGGCUUCCUGUCACUUGAGAAGCGCAGCAAGCGUCGAUGUUCGACUCUCGACAUAUUCUUGGAAGUUGAUCGCAUCCUGCGGCCAGAGGGCUGGAUUAUAAUACGUGACACCGCCCCACUUAUUGAAGCUGCAAGAUCUGUUGCUGCUCAGCUCAGGUGGGAUGCACGUAUCUUGGAUCUUGACAUAGCUAGUGAUGAAAAACUGUUGGUCUGUCAGAAGCCCUUCCUGAGAAAACAAUGAGCAUACCAGACACUGACACACAAUAUGGAAUUAUUCUUUACCCCCUACAUACUGUUGUAAGUAUUGUCCAAGGACAAUUGAGAACAAAUAUCAGUUCAAACAUUGGAGGCAUGGGUCAGCUAACUCGUCAUGAAUUGUCGUGGCCCGCAAGGUGCCAUGAGACUGAUCGGGCAAGUGCAUGCUGCAGAGGACAGGCCUGGUGGCUAAGCUUUCCAGGCCAAGAUUUUACUGCCAGGAUACAGAGAUGGAGGCCAUCAAAGUUAAUUUUGUAGCAAAACCAUAUUCAAUAAAGGGAUGAUGCUGCGGCGUACAUAAUCGCGGCCAAUGUGUCAUAUAGGGUGGAACGUCUAAUUCAUCAUGGCAUUUGCCAGAUUCCAGGCACAUUACUACUCCUAGUUUGCUAUAUUUGCAAAAUAGCAAUGACAGUACAUCGAUGGUGAUACGCCACCCCAAUCCAAAAGUACUGUCAUGCCCAUGCCAUUUGUGCUCGAUUCCAUCCAAGGUUUCUCUCUUUCCUUCGUACUACUCCUGGAAGGUCAACUCUGCCAAGGACAGACAACAUCAUAGGAUAUAUCCGCAGAAGUCAUAUUCCGAGCUCUCGCACAGCAACUUCCAAGUUCCAAUGCGAAUUCCGUCGCUCUUAUUUGUCUUAUGGUCGAAACAAACCGAUGAUGUUAACAAAGACUUCUUCCUUCGAGCUUUGCAACGCACAUCUGGACUGCGCCCAUUCCUGCUUCUAUUCGCCAGUUGGCCCAAUCUUGCUCGCCAUUCUGGCGACAGCGACAGGCCAUCUGAGAGACUGAGACCAGGGAAUGAUUGGUUCAGCUCCACCUGCAAAGCACAACGACCGGUGUUCUAAGCAAGUCGGUUCGAUUGGUCCAGAAAAAAAAAUGCAAGCAUUCUUCACAAGAUUUGCUAUACAAAUGCAAAGAGCAACAAGUGGCGUAUAUAUUCUCCUGUGUCCAAAUUAUCGGUGACGCUGACCCAAAGCAUAUCGAAUCUGCAAUUUUUCUUCA